Molecule: non-coding RNA, 116 nt
Filed under: Homo sapiens (human)
Lineage: Eukaryota; Metazoa; Chordata; Mammalia; Primates; Hominidae
Source: Rfam by way of RNAcentral
GCUGGGUGAGGUGGCUCACACCUGUAAUCCCAGCAUUUGGGAGGCAGAGGCGGGUGGAUCACCUGAUGUCAGGAGUUCGAGACCAGCCUGACCAACAUGGUGAAACCCCGUCUCUA